Molecule: long non-coding RNA, 1907 nt
Organism: Pogona vitticeps (central bearded dragon)
Lineage: Eukaryota; Metazoa; Chordata; Lepidosauria; Squamata; Agamidae
Source: Ensembl
AUCCUCUCCCCGUGUCUCCUGCCCCCUUCCUCUUGCCCCUACAAGUCCUCCCCGGGUGUCUUCCACCCUAAUCCGUCCUGGCCCCAACCCUCCUGCCUCCCUGCCCCGGAAGCGGAGGCAUGGCGAAGACGAAGACAGGACCGCUCCUUCUGUCGCCCCCCAGAAGAUCCAGCCCAGGUGAGGGCAGUCAGUCUGUCUCAAGGGAGGCCUGUGGCUGAGGUGGAGGGCUAGCUGACGGGGGACCCCCCUCCCAGCAUCUCUUCAAGGCACUUGGUCGGCCACUCUCCAUGGAGGCAGAGGGCGGCCGUGUCCUGCCAAGGUCAGCCCCCCGUCGCCAAGGUGUCAGUGCUCAGGGAUGAUGGGCACUGUAGUCCAGCUGCCAGUGCUCCUGCAGAGGUCCCAUGGCUGAACGAUGGGUCUUCCCCUGCCAGAGGAGCAAAUCCUGAUGGAUUCAUCUCCUAACACCCACCUACCCCUCUCAUUCUGCAGGAACAGCGCAUCUAGGAAAAGGAAGGCCAAAGGGCAGCAGUUAGCUUCAUCAUCCUUCCCCUUCGGCAGUCAAAACGGGCACCCUCGGCUCCUCCAGGUACGGCCUUGGGCAGGGGGCCUGGGGUCAGGGUUAGGGUCUCCAUCCACUCGGCCCCUUCCCAGGGACCAACCCCAGGAGGUUCGUCAGUUUGCUGGUUCGUUUGUUUCCGCUGGUAGACCUGGGUCCCUUCUUUCUUUCCGUAGGAGCUGUGCCAGCCUCCGGGGAGGAGCUGAUGGAUUGCACGCCGGCACCAUAGAAAAUCAAGAGCAGCCCCAAGAAGAAGACGAGUCAAGAGAGCCGGCGAUGUCAAGAUCACUUCCUUUUCUGGGGCCCCCAUUCCCCCUCUUUCUUUUCCUUCUCUAUAUAUAUCAAUGGUAAUGUUGGCCUGUUUUUAAAAUGAAAUUAGUUUCUGUUUGUCUAUUUAGCUGAAAAGCCUGUUGCCUUCUUUCCAAGGGAGGCGGGUGGGUAAGGAAGUCGGGUGGCGGGCGAGAGGGAGCCCACAGUCCCCCAGCGGGGGCCUGGGCAGGCGGGCAUGGGGCAUCCGGCUCUUGCCCCCUUUGCUCCCCCACGCUCGGCAUGAGGUUGGGGAGAAAAGAACCCCCCUCCCAAGGGUUAGGGUCUCCGUCCAUUAGGCCCCUUCCCAGGGACCAACCCCAGGAGGUUCGUCAGUUUGCUGGUUCGUUUGUUUCCGCUGGUAGACCUGGGUCCCUUCUUUCUUUCCGUAGGAGCUGUGCCAGUCUCCGGGGAGGAGCCGAUGGAUUGCACGCCGGCGCCGUAGAAAAUCAAGAGGUGUGCAGAUACAGGUCAGGAAGGUGAGGGCUACUCCCCAUUGGGGCAGGGGGGCAGAGGGAGCUGUGCCCUCCACCUCCACCCCCUUCCAGGGGAGAAAGUGGGGCAGGGUGGGUGGGUUGGUGUGGGAGAGCGAGGCUGCCAGACCAGCCCACCGGGGGGAAGCUGGGUCUCCCCAAAGAGAGCAGAGCAGGGACCCCAGUGGGGGCUCAGCCCCUUCCCCAGGACCCUCACGGCCUCCCCUUUUCUCUUCCAGAAGCCCCAAGAAGAAGAAGAAGCAAGCGACCUGACCCGGAGAUUUCAAGAUGACUUCUUUUCCUUUUCUGGGCCCCCCGUUUUCCCCCCUUCUUUUCCAUAUUAAUGUUGAUAUGUUUAAAAAUCAAAUUAGAUUUUUUAUCUCUAUUUAAGCCCAAUAGCCUGGUGCCUUUUUUUCCAAGGGAGGUGGGUGGGUGAGGAAGUCGGGUGGCGGGCGAGAGGGAGCCCACAGUCCCCCAGCGGGGGCCCUGGGCAGGCGGGCAUGGGGCAGGCAUGGGGUGUCUGGCUCUUGUCCCCUUCGCUUCCCCACCCCACCCAUGAGGAUGGGGAGAAA